Molecule: transfer RNA, 83 nt
Filed under: Deltaproteobacteria bacterium
Lineage: Bacteria; Pseudomonadati; Myxococcota; Myxococcia
Description: tRNA-Leu
Rfam family: tRNA
About the family: Transfer RNA (tRNA) molecules are approximately 80 nucleotides in length.
Source: RNAcentral
GCGGAUGUGGCGAAACAGGAAGACGCGCUGGUUCGAGAGGCCAGUGGUCCACGACCGUGAGGGUUCGACUCCCUCCUUCCGCA